UAGGGAAUAUUAGUAAUGGGCGAAAGCCUGAACUAGCAACGCCGCGUGUGCGAAGAAGGCCUUCGGGUUGUAAAGCACUUUUUGAGAGGAUGAGGAAGGACGGUACUCUCAGAAUAAGUCUCGGCUAACUACGUGCCAGCAGCCGCGGUAACACGUAGGAGGCGAACGUUAUCCGGAUUUACUGGGCGUAAAGCGCGUGUAGGUGGUUUGGUAAGUAGGGCGUGAAAGCUCCUGGCUCAACUGGGAGAGGCCGUUCUAAACUGCCGAACUAGAGGAUGGUAGAGGGAGGUGGAAUUCCGGGUGUAGCGGUGGAAUGCGCAGAUAUCCGGAGGAACACCAGUGGCGAAAGCGGCCUCCUGGACCAUUCCUGACACUCAGACGCGAAAGCUAGGGUAGCAAACG
RNAcentral lists this ribosomal RNA (402 nucleotides) under uncultured bacterium. RNAcentral describes it as "bacterial SSU rRNA". It matches the Rfam family "Bacterial small subunit ribosomal RNA", at positions 355 to 774 of the family's 1533-position model. The record is from RNAcentral.